This 23-nucleotide microRNA is filed under the name Caenorhabditis brenneri. Lineage: Eukaryota; Metazoa; Nematoda; Chromadorea; Rhabditida; Rhabditidae. The record is from RNAcentral.
UAUGACACUUAAGCAUAGGUGGA